UACCAGCACCCCGAGUGGUCGGGACGUUUAUUGGGCCUAAAGCGUCCGUAGCCGGUUCUGCAAGUCUUCCGUUAAAUCCACCUGCUUAACAGAUGGGCCGCGGAAGAUACUAUAGAGCUAGGAGGCGGGAGAGGCAAGCGGUACUCGAUGGGUAGGGGUAAAAUCCGUUGAUCCAUUGAAGACCACCAGUGGCGAAGGCGGCUUGCCAGAACGCGCUCGACGGUGAGGGAUGAAAGCUGGGGGAGCAAACCGG
Molecule: ribosomal RNA, 253 nt
Filed under: uncultured bacterium
Lineage: Bacteria
Description: partial 16S ribosomal RNA
Rfam family: Archaeal small subunit ribosomal RNA
Source: RNAcentral